UGGGAGGCUGAUAUACAAAUUGAGCUAAGUACUGCUCUAAUUGUCACCAUUCCUCCCUAAUAAACUGCUAUUUUUAUUGAUUUCAGAGAGGAAGAGAGAGCGACAGAGAGACAGAAACAU
This is a non-coding RNA of Pipistrellus kuhlii (Kuhl's pipistrelle), 120 nucleotides long. RefSeq annotates it as small Cajal body-specific RNA 8. The record is from RefSeq and is a predicted model, not a curated record. The transcript has a single exon. Lineage: Eukaryota; Metazoa; Chordata; Mammalia; Chiroptera; Vespertilionidae.